RNAcentral lists this ribosomal RNA (406 nucleotides) under uncultured bacterium. RNAcentral's name for it is "partial 16S ribosomal RNA". It matches the Rfam family "Bacterial small subunit ribosomal RNA", at positions 30 to 526 of the family's 1533-position model. The record is from RNAcentral.
AUUGAACGCUGGCGGCAGGCCUAACACAUGCAAGUCGAACGAGUGGCGGACGGGUGAGUCAUGUCUGGGAAACUGCCCGAUGGGGGGGGAUAACUCCUGGAAACGGUAGCUAAUACCGCAUACCAUCGGGUGUGCCCAGAUGGGAUUGGCUAGUAGGUGGGGUAACGUGUCACCUCGACGACGCUCCCUAGCUGGUCUGAGAGGAUGACCAGCCACACUGGAACUGAGACACGGUCCAGACUCCUACGGGAGGCAGCAGUGGGGAAUAUUGCACAAUGGGCGCAAGCCUGAUGCAGCCAUGCCGCGUGUAUGAAGAAGGCCUUCGGGUUGUAAAGUACUUUCAGCGAGGAGGCGUUACUCGCAGAAGAAGCACCGGCUAACUCCGUGCCAGCAGCCGCGGUAAUAC